CGGAACGUAGCUCAAUCUGGCAGAGCAAUGGACUGUAGCUAGUCGCUGCAUUCCAGCCUCUAACGGAUAUCCAUGGGUUGCCGGUUCAAAUCCGGCCGUUCCGACCA
RNAcentral lists this transfer RNA (107 nucleotides) under Candidatus Thorarchaeota archaeon. Its description in RNAcentral is "tRNA-Tyr". It matches the Rfam family "tRNA". Rfam says of the family: Transfer RNA (tRNA) molecules are approximately 80 nucleotides in length. Their secondary structure includes four short double-helical elements and three loops (D, anti-codon, and T loops). Lineage: Archaea; Promethearchaeati; Candidatus Thorarchaeota. The record is from RNAcentral. RNAcentral also lists the same sequence under 1 other name.